AUUGAACGCUGGCGGCAGGCCUAACACAUGCAAGUCGAGCGGAUGAAGGGAGCUUGCUCCUGGAUUCAGCGGCGGACGGGUGAGUAAUGCCUAGGAAUCUGCCUGGUAGUGGGGGAUAACGUCCGGAAACGGGCGCUAAUACCGCAUACGUCCUGAGGGAGAAAGUGGGGGAUCUUCGGACCUCACGCUAUCAGAUGAGCCUAGGUCGGAUUAGCUAGCUGGUGGGGUAAAGGCCUACCAAGGCGACGAUCCGUAACUGGUCUGAGAGGAUGAUCAGCCACCUUGGAAGUGGGACACGGACAAGGGUCCUAAGGGAGGGAGCAGUGGGGAAUGUUAGGCAGUAGGCGAAAGCAUGGCCCAACCGUGGCGCGUGUGUGAAGAAAGUGUUGGGAUUGUAAAGCACUUUAAGUUGGGAGGAAGCGCAGUAAGUUAAGACCUUGCUGUUUUGACGUUACCAACAGAAUAAGCACCGGCUAACUUCGUG
Molecule: ribosomal RNA, 484 nt
Filed under: uncultured bacterium
Lineage: Bacteria
Description: partial 16S ribosomal RNA
Rfam family: Bacterial small subunit ribosomal RNA
Source: RNAcentral